This 253-nucleotide ribosomal RNA is filed under the name uncultured bacterium. RNAcentral describes it as "partial 16S ribosomal RNA". It matches the Rfam family "Bacterial small subunit ribosomal RNA", at positions 524 to 776 of the family's 1533-position model. The record is from RNAcentral.
UACAGAGGUCCCAAGCGUUGUUCGGAUUCACUGGGCGUAAAGGGUGCGUAGGUGGCGGGGUAAGUUUGAUGUGAAAUCUCCGGGCUUAACCCGGAAACUGCAUUGAAUACUAUUCUGCUCGAGGUUUGGAGGGGGGACUGGAAUUCUCGGUGUAGCAGUGAAAUGCGUAGAUAUCGAGAGGAACACCAGUGGCGAAGGCGAGUCCCUGGACAACACCUGACACUGAGGCACGAAAGCUAGGGGAUCAAACAGG